RNAcentral lists this ribosomal RNA (485 nucleotides) under uncultured bacterium. RNAcentral's name for it is "bacterial SSU rRNA". It matches the Rfam family "Bacterial small subunit ribosomal RNA", at positions 29 to 507 of the family's 1533-position model. The record is from RNAcentral.
AUUGAACGCUGGCGGAAUGCUUUACACAUGCAAGUCGAGCGGCAGCGCGGGGGCAACCCUGGCGGCGAGCGGCGAACGGGUGAGUAACAUAUCGGAACGUACCCAGUCGUGGGGGAUAACUAUCCGAAAGGAUAGCUAAUACCGCAUACGUCCUGAGGGAGAAAGCGGGGGAUCGCAAGACCUCGCGCGAUUGGAGCGGCCGAUAUCGGAUUAGCUAGUUGGUGGGGUAAAGGCUCACCAAGGCGACGAUCCGUAGCGGGUCUGAGAGGACGACCCGCCACACUGGAACUGAGACACGGUCCAGACUCCUACGGGAGGCAGCAGGUGGGGAAUUUUGGACAAUGGGGGCAACCCUGAUCCAGCCAUUCCGCGUGAGUGAAGAAGGCCUUCGGGUUGUAAAGCUCUUUCAGCAGGAACGAAACGGUGGUCCCUAAUACGGACUACUAAUGACGGUACCUGAAGAAGAAGCACCGGCUAACUACGUG